CGGGGGGGGGGCAAGCGUUGUUCGGAAUUACUGGGCGUAAAGGGCGUGUAGGCGGUCCUGCAAGUCUUUCGUGAAAUCCCACAGCUCAACUGUGGAACUGCGAGGGAAACUGCAGGACUUGAGUCCGGGAGAGGAGGGUGGAAUUCCCAGUGUAGCGGUGAAAUGCGUAGAUAUUGGGAGGAACACCGGUGGCGAAGGCGGCUCUCUGGACCGGCACUGACGCUGAGGCGCGAAAGCUAGGGGAGCAAACGGGAUUAGAUACCCCGGUAGUCCUAGCCUUAAACGAUGAGCACUUGGUGUGGCGGGUAUCGACCCCUGCCGUGCCGAAGCUAACGCAUUAAGUGCUCCGCCUGGGGAGUACGGUCGCAAAGGCUG
RNAcentral lists this ribosomal RNA (375 nucleotides) under uncultured organism. RNAcentral describes it as "partial 16S ribosomal RNA". It matches the Rfam family "Bacterial small subunit ribosomal RNA", at positions 524 to 896 of the family's 1533-position model. The record is from RNAcentral.